Molecule: ribosomal RNA, 253 nt
Filed under: uncultured bacterium
Lineage: Bacteria
Description: partial 16S ribosomal RNA
Rfam family: Bacterial small subunit ribosomal RNA
Source: RNAcentral
UACGAAGGGGGCUAGCGUUGUUCGGAAUCACUGGGCGUAAAGGGCGCGUAGGCGGCUUUGUAAGUCGGGGGUGAAAGCCUGUGGCUCAACCACAGAAUUGCCUUCGAUACUGCAUGGCUUGAGACCGGAAGAGGUAAGUGGAACUGCGAGUGUAGAGGUGAAAUUCGUAGAUAUUCGCAAGAACACCAGUGGCGAAGGCGGCUAUCUGGACCGACAUUGACGCUGAGGCGCGAAAGCGUGGGGAGCAAACAGG